CAUUAGAUGACUGAAAGCAAGUACUGGUCUCUUAAACCACAUUAUGGUAAUUUAGCAUUUACCUCUAAUGA
Molecule: transfer RNA, 71 nt
Filed under: Junonia chorimene
Lineage: Eukaryota; Metazoa; Arthropoda; Insecta; Lepidoptera; Nymphalidae
Description: tRNA-Lys
Source: RNAcentral